UUUUUACAUAGGUUUUGGAAGUCUGCUAUUGGAGAUGCUCCGGAGGCACGACGGAGUCAACGAGUUUAUCGGAUGAUUUAUCAGUGGGGCCCACAUGAACGUGACUUCAAUCCCCUCAAUUCCGUUGUCCUCCUGGUUUGGAGCACGGCACCAAUCAACCAACCCCCAAUCGAGCACGCCGUCCACUUCCGAGGUCGCGUGCGUGGAUAGGGUUUGCUUCGCCGCCGUCCCGCCGACUGCGCCUCCCCCCUCGUCGCCGCGCCGCCGCCGGGGAGACCAGGCCACCACCAGCCGAGCUACCGAUCGAUCGACCAACGCGGUGAUGGCGAUGGCCGCGGCGCACCAGAUCCCCAAGGUCGCCCACACCCUCGUCGAGAUCGCCGAGGUCGCGCGCUACGCCUACGAGCACCGCUCCGGCCACGCCCCGGACCACGACGGCGCCACGGCGAUGGCCGCCGACGGGGAGGAGGCCGCGCGGCUGCGGGCGGAUAACGCCGUCCUCCGCGCCCGCCUCGCGGACGACCUCGCCCUCCUUCGCGAGCUUCAGGGCGCGCCCUUUGUUUCCCAGGAGUGCCCUCCCGACUUGCAUAAUCGUCUCGUAGCAUCAGUCAACAAUGCUGGCUUCCUUGCUCAUCUUGAGAAAGUACGAGAUGAGCCGCUGCAUCAACAUACCAAACUAUCUAUUGGCAGUGUGACAGAGGUGGACAUUGGAGAUAUUCCUUACACUAAAGAUGAGGGGAAGACUGGGUCAUGGCUCUUGGUUUCCUGUGACACUGCUGGGGGCAAUUUGGAGGAAAUUAGUGGAAUUGAUGACGAAAAUUAUGUGAUGGUUAAUGAAGAUGACAUCGUUGAUGCUAUUGCUACCUUUGUUGCUAGGUGCAUUCUUGAAGAUCCAAAGUCCAAGUCAUUAUCAUCGAAAGAGCUGCAAAAAGCUGUUGCAACGGCAUUGAGCAGCAUGACAGACCGGAAGAAAUGGAUAAGUUUCUGGGAGGCUGGAAAGGUGAUUUACAUACUGGCAACUUGGGGUAUCACAAUAGCAGGGCUGUACAGGAGUCGUGCUGUCCUGAAAAUGGCAGCCAAAGGAGCUGUCGUCUCCACCAAAUUUAUCAUGAAGGCAUUGUAAGGUGCCAAGUGCCAGUGAAUUAGUGGCGUCAUGAUCACACGCAACGGUCCGCAAAUUGUAAAUACAAACUCAUCGCGUCAACUGUACAUAUGUGUUGUGUGAUAUGGUCUAUCAGAGAACUAUUCGUUGGUCAGAUGUGCUGUAACUUCUGAAAUGAUAAUGAUUUCUCUCGUCGUGUAUGAAUAACGGGGGCAAAUAUAUGCUUGUCAUGUCUCAAAGUCUCUGGAGUGAUAUAGGGGGGCUCUGCUCCACAUGUUUGUUGUAUGCCGGAGUCUCCCCGGACUGAUUUGGCUUAGCUGGGAACUGCCUUCUCUUCACAUAUAUACUCCAACUAGCUGUUCACUGUAUGGCCAUCUGACAAGAAAUUUCAAAUUCUUCAGAUGGUUCAUGUGAAUUGUACUGGUACUUUCACACUUCUUAUGAAUCUUUGCCGAAUUUUACACUGAAUUGAAUGUGAAACCGGCCUGCAUGAAUGGUGAUGAUGGUGUGUGGCAUGUUUGCAAAAAGGUCUCAUCCACUCCUAUAUGCAAAAAAGAUCCCGUCUCUCUGGACCAGCCGCAUCCCUUCUCACCCCAUCUUAACACACUUCCGAUAUCCUUUUUGAUAUAUACGUACCAAACUCUAUUUCAAGUUUGUGAAUAUGUAUUGGUCCAUUUUGAAUGUGUUGACACUUUUCCUUGCUUUUGGGGAGGAAGCACAGGCAUUUUGAGCUAUGCUCACGGCGCGCAAAAGAACAUGACUUUGGCACCUUCAAAUAUUUCAAUGUAA
Molecule: ribosomal RNA, 1891 nt
Filed under: Triticum aestivum (bread wheat)
Lineage: Eukaryota; Viridiplantae; Streptophyta; Magnoliopsida; Poales; Poaceae
Description: partial small subunit ribosomal RNA
Source: RNAcentral